GCAGGUAGCGGUAGUUGCUUCCCGCAAUAAAACAAGGGAAAGGACUUCAUAUCCACUGGCUUUGCAGAGAAUUUCAAAGUGGCGUUACACAGAACUUCAUAGCGAGUUGUGUUACUUCGGAGUGCGUGUGCGCGAAGAGUGUUUAGUUUCCGCCUGUCGCGUGCUUCAACAGGAAUAACACAGUCGUUUUAUUAGGAUUCCCAUAAAUCAUACAGUUUUUGUGGCUGAGGUAUAGGAAUGAAAUGCAUUCUUAUAUAUUUGUAUCAAAUACACGAGUUAAAAUGGCAAUGAUAUUUUUGCCGAUGGUGAAAUGUGAUUCUGUUAAAGAUCGCGUGGCAAAGUUAAGUUCGUAAACAGAUUAGAUACUUCGCUUAGAGAGACUUGAAAUAUUACGGAAAUUUGUGAUUAUUCCACGAUCAUAUCGUUAUGAGUAGCCGUACUUCAUGUGUGCUGACAAGACAGAUUCGAAUCAGGUGCUGAUUUUUCAUAUAAAUUUAAGUAAUUGCGAUUUGUUUUUAAUGAAAUAUGAAAUAUAUUCCGUGAUUCAGUUAUUCACGUGCCAUAAAAAAUGCCUAAAAAUAGACCCAUUACAUGCCUAAAUGUAUUUAAUUUGCACAUUUAAUUUCCCAAUGAAUAUGUUCAAUGCUGCUCCCUAAUAUACCGAAAGCGUGUUGUUUUGAAGGCAGUUGAUUUUGCUGAGGGUGUGCCACCCCAUUUGAAAUCGGCGAUAUUUCAUUUUACUUGCGUGUUUCAUACUGAGCAAGGAGGCGUGUAGUGAUGGGCAGGAACAUUGUAUGGACACAUCGUUGAGUAUUAGAAGGGACAUAUCAUUAUAUCUCCUGCUAAAUACUUUCUCUUUUCGUUUUCAUUGUUCAUCCUCCAUUAUACGUGAUGUUUCUAUGAGAUGGCUCCACGGCGCCAGGGAGGAAGAGAUACAUUGACGUCAUAAUGAAAAAGGAGCACCACCUGCAGUGGAAUGAAGCGAUGUAAAUUCGAGAAGGUUUCUGAAUACUCGUACAAAGAACAGAGAACAGUCUGUGUUUGGGAUCGGUUAUAAUUUCCAGAAUCGGAGAGUACAUUUCAUUCUGUAACUUGACAUAUCACACGCACGUAUGAUCGACCAACAAAUUUUUGUAGACAUUGAUUUCUUUGGACUGUUGUUUAAUAAUAUGCAUAGCAUUAUUUUCGCUAAUAGACUUUGCAUCUACCACAAGGACUGUAUUUAACUUCUUAACAUAUUUCAUCAUAUUAAGAGUAGUUUAGAACUGGAAUGUUUGUACGCUUUCAUGGACAGCCUGUGAUAAAAUUUACACGAAAUACUAAAACAUUGGAAGGUAAAUAGUGAACUGUUAAAAACAUGCGUACAGUACGGCGCACAGACAUGUCUUACUGAGACCCGUUAAGUGCAGUGAUUACUGAGUGCCGACAAGAGUGAUUUCACAUCGAGUUCUCAAAUCCCAAGUGAUUAUCACGACACAGUUCCAUCACAGACACUCUUUCAAAGAGAUGAAUGAGUGAAAUGGGGAGCAAAGUGGCAACAGGCAGUAAGUCCAUCAGUGUUCGCGGUUGAAAGGAAGAACUUAACAGCACAUGACAUGAAUCCUUAAACAGGGCCGCUUAGCAGAUGGAGAGAUAGGACAGGCACACUGACACCCCGAAGGCCUCACAAUGAGUGGGUUUGGCAGCAGGCUGGACGGUAGCAGCGCCAGGACAGCGCACAUGCAGUAUCUCAACGUUUACGAUCCUCGAACGUCGAUGAGGGGUCGCCGCUUCCAGAAGUGUUCGUACAGACCUCUCACCCUCAAACCGGUGGAGGAAGUGGAGGGGUCUUCUUCAGCUCACCACCACCUUCAUUACUCCCCAGACGGUGGGGGCGGGGGCGGCGGUCCUGCCUCCUCAUCCUCUUCGUCGUCGCCGCUACCGCCAUCAGCACUGCGUCGUCAUCGCCCCAUGAUGGUGGACACCACGGGUAUCGGACCUGGGCCCUCGUCAGCACCUUCUGGAGAUGAUACCACAGCAAGCGGGGCAGUGGGGGGAACUCUGUCGGAAGGGAGUGCCAGUGAGUCGUCUCCUCGACAGUCCGGGGUUCAGUCUUUGGUAACAUCCAGGGAGGAAGACGGUGAAGAGGAUGGCCAUGGCGGAGAAGGAGAGGAUGCGUCAGGAAGCUGCAGCAAGAGGGACAGCAUCGCUUCAUCUGACAAGAGCCCCGGACAAAGACCUCCACCGCUUGCUAAUCAGAGUAGGUCGAAAAGUGUCGGCGAGCAGAAGUGGCAGAACCUCCGCGCCGUUAUGGCUUUGUACACGAGACUCCGGAAGAUCAAGAGGACGAAGAGCAACCAGAGGUGGAUGAAGCUGCGAACAACAGUGCAGCUAUCUGGUGCCAUUACCACCAUCCAGAAGAAACCUCCUCUCAAGCGAGAAGACUCAUUCCUCAAGCGGUUCUCAACCAGGCAGAUCCCGGAGGCACAGGAGACGAUGGAUACCGGGGACGACGGCGACGGCGGUCCGAGCAGUCAGAGCACAGCAAGCACAAGGAGACGUCGGCGGCGGAGACAGCGCCUUCCUCGCACCGUGGUCAAUCCUGACGAGAACUUCUACUUCUACUGGCUCUUCGUGCUCACCGUCUGUGUACUCUAUAACCUGUGGACAUUAAUCGUUCGGCAAAGUUUCCCCGAACUUCAGUCAGGCGCGACCGUGUUGUGGUUCACGUGUGAUGGCUUCAGUGACGCUGUUUUUCUCUUGGAUGUCGCCGUCCAGUUCCGCACAGGAUACCUCGAACAAGGACUAAUGGUUUACGAUUCCAAAAAACUCGCUGGACAUUACGUCCGCUCUCGUGCGUUCCUGAUGGAUUUGUGUGCGCUCCUACCUCUUGAUUUCUUGCAGUUCUAUCUCGGAAUGCAGCCAAUAUUGAGGUUCCCUAGGUUCCUUAAAGUGUACAGGGUGUAUGAUUACUAUUACAUGGUGGAGUCUAGGACGGUGUAUCCCAACCUGUGGCGAGUAGUGAACUUGGUGCACAUCCUGCUGAUUCUGGCUCACUGGUUUGGAUGUUUCUACUACCUGUUAUCAGAAGCUCAAGGGUUUAUCGGCGUGUGGGGGUAUCCGUACAAUGAACCGGGAUACCAAGAGCUGACACGCAAGUACCUAGGAUCGCUUUAUUGGUCAACGCUUACCUUAACCACUAUCGGCGAUCUGCCAACACCGGGCACCAAUGUAGAGUACGUGUUUACCAUUGUCAGUUACCUCAUCGGCGUGUUUAUCUUCGCCACAAUUGUAGGACAAGUGGGAAAUGUCAUUACGAACCGUAACGCAAACCGUCUGGAGUUUGAGCGGCUUCUGGAUGGCGCCAAGACGUACAUGCGACACCACAAGGUUCCUGGGGGUAUGAAGAGGAGAGUCCUCCGGUGGUACGACUACUCGUGGUCCAGGGGUCGUAUUCAAGGAGGUGGUGAUAUUAAUACAGCCCUUGGCCUGCUGCCUGACAAACUGAAGACUGAACUGGCUCUGCAUGUAAAUCUCAGUGUCCUUAAAAAGGUCACCAUCUUCCAGGAGUGUCAGCCAGAAUUUCUCCAUGACCUGGUGCUCAAGAUGAAAGCCUAUAUUUUCACUCCUGGAGAUUUGAUUUGUAGGAAAGGAGAAGUUGCCCGGGAAAUGUUCAUUAUUGCAGAUGGUAUCCUAGAGGUUAUAAGUGAGACAGGCAGAGUUCUUACCACAAUGAAAGCUGGAGAUUUCUUUGGAGAAAUUGGAAUCCUCAACUUGGAUGGACUAAAUAAGCGCACUGCAGAUGUAAGGUCAGUAGGAUACUCAGAACUCUUCAGCCUUUCUCGUGAGGAUGUACUUGCUGCUAUGAAGGACUACCCAGAGGCCCAGGAAAUCUUGCAGAGCCUAGGCCGCAAGCGUCUAAUGGAGGCACGUAAUGUGUCGCGAACCAAGUCCUCAGGGCACCAUGAUGGGAAGGGCAUGAACUCUCCUGCCUUAAGAGAUGGUGUGGGAGGCACUGACUUGGAUGGCAGAGCUGGCAAGCGCAUUGUGGAGAAACUGAGAAGUGAUGUUAAGGGCCUCAGGAAUGUCUUGCGUAAAAGUAGGCGUGGAGCCAGAAUGAAGGAUGAGUCCAUGGAACUUCAACCAUUAAACCCUGGCUCUAUCAGCACAGCGCGUGUGUCAUCUGCUGCACACUCUGGAAAGGGUAUGCUGCGUAGAAUGUCCAGAGUUCAUAGUGAUGAGAACUACUCACGAGAAGAAUCACUGGAAGAUCAACCAUCUGCAGCACCUACGGCUAAGUUAGGGGAAGGUCUUCCUCUGCUUCAACGCCUGCGUCUGCUUAAGGAGAAACAAGACCGAGAAGAUAGAGGGAAACAUGCGUUAACUCCGACAUCUCCUCCGCCUGCACCAGCCACACUGUCACCACCAGCAUUCAGACUUCAGCCUCCACAGGAAGAAUCACAGGAACAAGAAGUGAUUGGCCCUGGAUUACCACUAAUACAGAGGCUUCUUUUGCUCAAACAAAAAGAAGAUCAUGAAAGACUCACAAUGCAGACAACUGCUGCUGUUACUGCAGAUGUUCUAGCAACUGCAGUGAAAUCACAGCAGGAGGCUGAGUCUAAAUCCAUACAAUCAACUGUGUCUCCUCCUGGCAGGAAAGUGAAGGGAUGCAUUAGUGAUGAUUCACGACAUUCAUCGUCUAGUAAAGAACAAUCAGAGGAUGAGUCAUCACUAGUAAGCAGGAAAUCAUCUCUGCUCAAUAGACUGGUGUCAUUGAAACAUAAAGAUUCAUCAAGUGCUUCAGUUGUGAAACAGUCCACUGGUUCUAGUGUUGUGAUCCCUCCUCAACAAACAUCUGAUACCAGUUCAUCAAGUAGUGCUGAUCCAUGCAUGGCUGCCUCUAUGAAAGUUCCACUUCUCCGUGAUAAAUUGAAGCUACUAACGCAGAAAGAUAAUGUACAAUCUUCAUCGGCACCACCAUCAUCAUCAUCAACUGGGAUAGUUAUUUCUCCUCCCAAAGUUCAUAACCAUUCCAGUGCUAAAAGUGACAAUGACAGUUCCAGUAGUUCUGCAGCAGUGUUAAAAAAGCAGCACUCAUGGAGUCUUUUAAAAAAGGCCUCCAUAUUAUCAUCACAUGGCUCGAAUGAAACUUCUAAAGAACCUAAUGUUACAGCACCAAAGUCUGCCACUAUUCAUGACCUUCCAGUUUCAUCUAAUCAAGUAGAGUCUGGUGGUACUUCAACAUCUCAGUCCCGAGAAGAGGAGGUUUCAGAUUUAGCCAUGGUUCAGACAUCUACUGAUGAAACUGAAGUGAUACUGUGUGAUAACAAUGAUAGUAAAUCAGUUCCUUCCAAACUUCCGUCAGCUCUUAAAAUCAGUGAAGUAUGUAGUGCUAAAAGUAUGUCUUUAUUUAAGCAGAAAGUAACAAAACUUAUCAGUGAGGACCAAGGGCAACAAUCUGCAAUUUCACAGGUUUCCAAAGUUCAAGACAAGCUCAAGUGUGAAGAACAAGUGCCUGCUCAAGAGGAGAAGAAAGAGAAUGAAGACAACCUGAAACAUAUACCUACUGAAAUAUGCAGUGAGGAAGGAAAAGAGAUAAAUUCCAAAAAUUCAAGGGAGAUAGCUUCAUCAAUAGGUUCAGGAGAGGAGAUAGCAGCCCAACCUUCCAUGAAAAUCAUGGAUCCUUCUGUAUUGACACCCGCAGAACCUUCAACUGCAUCUUCAGAAAGGCGACGGCCCAAACCCAAUCUCCUUCGACUGCAACAGGAUACAAAGUUUUACAUGUCUAUUGAUGAUCUUUCUCCUGAAUACUCUGGGUUACCUUUUGUUAAAAAACUGAAAAUUCUUAAUGAACGACAGAAGUUAGCUGAGCUGGAACAAAAAGUUGCUCAUGUAUUCAUGCGUAGUUCAAGUUUGGACAGCAGUAAUGCCAUAUCAGGCACUUCAGGUGGAAGUGGGGACUCAACUGAGUACCCUCUGGAUCUAACGAAUCUGACAAGAAGCCACUCUGAAGCCAGUGCCAUGCAAUAUGUAAGAUCCCAACAACUCAGCAGAGACUCUUUCAGCCGGAGUGGCUCACAGAUGAGCAGGAAGGAUGAUGAAGAAGAGGAAAGUGCAUCUCCCCCGCAACGACCGGCAGAGCUUCCACAGACACCAGCAUCUAAAGCACCGGUAUCACUAACAUCUCCAGAAAGCAAUGAGACUUUGGAGAGACGAAACCUGAAAAGUAUUCUCAAGAAAUUGUCAGCAAGUUCCCUCUUCUCAAGGAGUACAGAAGAGACAAAAACAACCAGCUCAAGUGGUGAUCAGCCUGAAGGAAAUGCAAUCAAGGAAGUAACCACAACCCAGCCAGCAUCAAAACCGUUGACUGUGGACAUGCACAAAUUGUUGAGGGCACCAACUAUAGAAGGCUAUGCUGCACGUCAUAGUAAGCUGACCAAGAGUGUGACAUUUAACCGUGACACACUUCAGUCCCCUCCAGCUACAGCCACAACACCAACUAACCUUUUGCAGGAACCCUCUGGAAGCCUCUUUCCUCUUCCUGCUGCCUCAGAUGUCCUAACAGUAGGUACAGUCGUAUCCACAUGCAUAACCACAUCUACCACUACAAACUUAACUAUUAUUACACCCUCAGCAGUCUCAUCUGCAUCACCCACAGAUUUUAGUGAAGCAUCUGUACCUCAGCAUGAAACAUUCCCUCCAGUUACGACCCCAGGGACAGUUGUCUCAACUACAACAUCGUCUUCAGUAGCAUCACAACCCACCAUAUCAACAGUUAGCCCGGUGUCGCCACUGGCCGGUAUAACAAGUGAGCCUUCACAAGUAUCAGCAGCAACUGACAUGACCCAAACACCAGCAGAUGCCGCAGAGUCAGCUUUAAAGAAGAAGCCCAACGUCUCCUUCCUUGUGCAGCAUCCGCACCAGAUACCCUUGUCCGCAAAUGAAAAGAAUUUCUUCCGUCCCUCACUUCUGCUGCCAUCACAUGCUUGUCUUGAAGAAGAGUACUUCAAUGAGGUCAUUGUGGGUAUCAAGCAGGUCAUCCAAGGACACUUGGAAGAGAUCCAGAAUAAGUUUCAGUCUCAGUUUCAGUCUCUUGAACUAGAAGUGAAACGGAGAGAUGAAAUCAUCUCUCAGCUACAAAAGCGAAUACAUGAACUUGAGCAUCCUGACUCCACAGAAAAAGAUCAUGAGGGUGAUGACAGAGAUUUAUCAGACACAGAUGAUGGGUCAGACCAACCAUUCAUGCGAGGAGACUCUGUAGACACAGUUCUAAUGUCUCCUCCUCCAGCAUUACCAGAUGAUCUUGAAGAGGAGAGUGGCAAUAAUGCUGUGGCAGAUGAGGCACCAUACCAUAGCAUGAUUUCGCCUUCACACCACAUAUUACAACAGCCGCAGACAUAUCGUCACUCCUGGGAGGACCAUUCAGAGGAGGAAACCCUUGAGUUGUUGGAUUUGCCCAGUUCAAUCAGUCCACAACACAUGUGGUGUGUGGAAGAUGGGUUACAGAAUGACAGAGACAUACCAAUAGACAGUGUUGCCUUGGAUCUUGGAUCUUCUGACACAUCAUCCUCAUCAUCUUCAUCAAGUGAUUCUAGCAAUGAUGAGGAUGACGCCUUUGCUACAGAUGAUCUUCACAGUGUUGGGCACAACCAAGAUUGGGAGGUGCAGAUGCUGGCUCGUGAACUGGAACGGAGAGAAGGUAUCAGCCGCCUUGAGGAUGAAGUGCGGGACUUAAAAGUUGCUGUCAGCUCAAGUGAUCUGAGUCACCUGACGAGCUCUGAGCUGGACAUACUGGAACAAGUUCUGGUAGCUAAGGACCGUAAAGUGAGAGCAGCUGCUCGAGCCCUCAGUCUUGACUCUGAUGACAGCUACUUAGAUGAACGAUCACUCCAUCCAGUCAUCCGUCACAAACCAGAACUCCAUUCCCCAUCACUCUCAUCAGCAUUGAAUAAACAGAGGCUUUUGAAGCAACGAUCCACAAAUGGUGGAGGCAGCAUUGAAAAUCUCCUGUAUAGGACAAGUCUCUUAAAAAAUCGCCUUUUUUCAGCAAGUACUAAAGGGCAUAAACCUCUUGUAGCCCGUUCACUGGAGGAAACUCCUGACAGAUCGCAUAAAACCACAAUAAGCUCAAGUGAACGUAGGAAUCGUAGUGCAUCAAGUGGAAGCAUUACUCCAGUAGGUAGAACAUCAAAUUUUGCAUUGCCAUCUGCAUCAAGUUUAAUGAGGGGCCUGGGGACUUUGGUGAGAAACUCUGCAAGCACCUCUACAUCUCAGAACUCUUCUCACAACAGGCGACUCUCUGCGACAUUACUCGGUGCUGUCAGCAACAGGGCUGCUGUUCCCACAAUAUCCAGUACUUGUGGCGAGGUGUCCCCUGACCCCAGCCACCACACAAAUGACCCUCCACCACCUGAUCUAUGAAUAAUAGUUCUUGGAAACAUUAUCAUUCACACUGUGCUGAAUUGCAUUACAGUACACCAAUGACACAAGACCGUUGGUUACAUCUCUCUUUUGAGGCGCAUUGCAUUGUCUCCUGGUACAAAAGCAGGUUUAUUCACUGAUCGUGCAAGUGUUCACCCAUUCAAGCACUGAUCAUGCAAGUGUUCAAGCAUUCAAAGCGUUAUGCGUCAGUGAUUGAGCUAAUGAAGGUAAUACGCAUUUUCUUGCAUAAUUCAGUUUGAUAUGUUACUCUGUCUAAAGUAAUAACAGCCCUAUGUCUUUAAUAAUUAUUUUUAUUUAGUUAAGAAGUAAUAAACUUGUAAGAUAUGAAGUUUUCACGGCAGUGACAAUGAAGAAUGCCAUCUUCUGGGAUGUGGCGCCUAUUAUUUUUAUUUAAUUAAGAAGUAAUAAGGUUGUAAGGUAUGAGGUUUUCACAGCGGUGACUGGGAAGAAUGCCUUUUAUGGGUUGUGGCACCAGGUAUAUCUUGUGUAAAUAUACAUUUUGGAGGAACGUAUCGCUAUCUACACACCUCACCACAUCGGAGAAGACUGCAUUCUUCAAAUGUUAACAUUUAAUAGUACAGGUCUCAUUAAUGAAAUCAGUAAUUGUGAGUGCACUCAUAAAAUACUGCAUGGUACAAUCCCUGAAGUAAUCACAUAGUUUCUGUAGUCAUUAAAUGCACUGAUUUGUGUAAUGUUUCUAUUUAUAUCCAAUAUAUUUUCUUCAUUACGCUAGUUAAGCACAAUAGACGACUGUAGGUCAUGGUGCAAAGGCCAAGAAGUCAUUCAUUCAUUCUUUCUUUCUGCUAGUUUCUUUAUACUUUGGUUCUGCAGUAAGUUUGAAAUUAUUCUACUACAUAUAUUGUGUUACUAGUACAAUUAUAUAAUCUGUAAAAAUAUGUCACACAUGUUAAUAGUUCAAAUUUACUACAUAACAUAGGCAACGAUUUUCUUUCCUAUAACUUCAAUAAAAGAAUUUACCUCAAGGGAGACAGAUUUGUUAUAAGACAAAAUGGAAUUCUACUGUAAUUUAUGUACUCAGAGAAACUGACAUGAAUGAAUGCCAUUAAUAAUGACCGUCAUUGACCCAGCUAUCGUGAAUAGUUCUCUGCAUUUAAUAAAUUAAAUUCAUAAUAACAUCUUCCUGAUCUAGUUUAUACCUCAUGUGACAGUUAUGGACCUUACAUUAACUUCUUACUCUGUCUUAUUUAACAUUUUGGUAUUUACAAAUGUUUGACUAGAAUAGCAUAGUGAGUAUGUUGACUGCCUACAUGACGUACGGGCGAGAGGUCAGAGUUCGAGUCCUGGUAGGGACAAGAUUUUUCACCUCUUCACGUCAUCCAGACCAUUUCUGUGGCCCACCCAGCCGCCUAUCCAAUGCUUACCGCGGAUCCUUCCCCGGGGUUAAUGCGGCUGGAGCGUGAAUCUGACUGCACACAUCCAACUUGUACCGAGGUAAAGAAUACAUUGAUCUGUACAUCCACUCCCCAAUACUUAUUCAUGCCAUAUUGCUUAAUUGGUUAAGCAUAGGGUCAAUUUUCCCCAUAAAUCUUUACUUUAAUCUGUAAGACAGGUGAGAGAUAACCUCAAUUCAGUAAAACUGUGGGCCCCAUUAAAUUGUGGCAGAAUGAUUUCGUUCCAUUCCCCAGAGCUUUCAUCUGUAAAUUUUCCCGAAGUUGCACUGCAUGUAAGUUGAUUUUAAGAACACACAUAUACAAACAGAUGUCUGGUAGAAAUCUCCAUUUACAUUUGUUACACUUUCUAUGAUGUAUGAUAAAUUGUCUCUUGUAUUUCGCCAAAUUUUUACUACUGUCUCUCUCGACAUUCUUUCAUCGUUUUAUAUGGUAAUCUGUAAGGAACAUAAAUGUUAGAACACGAAAUGUAUGAAUUAUCUCUUUCAAUGACUGAAAUAAUAUCCCCCAUUCCAUUAAUCUUAUCCUGUACCAAUUAUCCCCACACAAAAUUGGGAAUAUUUGUAUAGGACAGAACAGUGGGUAAGGGAAAAGUGACCCAUUUGCACGAGGAUGUUGACCAUGCUUGCCUAGCCAACUUUGUCCAGGAUACAGAUUUGAAAGCACACUACAACCGAGGAGUACAUGAAAGGCUUUAUUGGGGAUAUCGAACAUAACCCAAUUGUCUGGGUUGCUUGAGAUAACUCUUAUGUCUAUCCACUUCUGGAGUUCGGAGAGACGAAACUUGUCUUCCUCCUGAAUGAAAGAUUGUAGUUCAGGCUUGGGGAAAUUGAGAGCUUUAUGUGUAGAAUUUAACAACUCUACUACAGACAAAUAUGCCUCAGAAUAAUGUUUCUCUACCCAAGUGGUUGUAUUUAUUCUCUCAGGUGGUGCUGUAGCUUUUGCAAGGAGACUGCCAUAACACACUUCAGAUUUGAGGUUCAAUUUCUGAGUAUUAAUGGGAUAAUUACCAAUAACACCAUGAAGAAACUUUGGGAUUUUGUUUGAUGUGUCUUUUAGACAUUGUCGAGUUACAGGGCGUAUAGCUGAUUGCAAGUGGGAGUCUGGUAACCUGGGGUGUUCACUCCCAGGAGCAGAUAUAUUGUCCUCAAUGUCUGGUAUGUAGUCGUCAAUGGUGGUAGCUCAAUGACAGGUCAUGGAUCACUGUUAAAUAGUACUAAUAGCUGAAGUUCAUAGAUGGAUAAAAGAAGACACCUAUACGGUUGCUAGGUGUUGUUGGAUAUUGGUGUAAUACAUUAUAUAUUGUGGCUUUGAGUUCAUGACCCUCUAAUUAUUUUUUUUUUCCUUUCUUGCUUUCUUUCUUCCCCCCCCCCCUCCCCCCGGUAUGAUGUAACUUAAUGGGAUCGUGUCGGUUGGAGUGGAGCAGUUGGUUGUUGGGUUUGAGUCUGCUGUAUGAAAUGAGGUAAUGGGAAAGAAUAUAUUCAUUAUUCUCCUUCUGCCAAACAAAUACCAUUACCGGAGAACUCAAUGUGCGCCUGGGGAAUAAUCUCUGGCUGUUCUUGCUACAACCUCUACAGGAAGUUCUGCUAGUUCGAUUGGACAGACCUUACAAACUAUAUCCACUGUUUCAGAUUCAUAUUUUGCCAGAUUACGGUUGAGUAUAGCAUAUUUUAAUUUCACAUUCUGGAUACCUAUUGAAGUUUGGGUUUCGGUAAACAAGGUGGAUGCUGAUGUCAAAUCAUCUACACCGCCUGUAGCCAUCCAUACUAGUUUGCCCACAUCUUCAGAAUUGUCUAUAGAUGAUUAGUAGUGUACAAGGUUCAGCGUUUUUAGUUUUAAUCCAUUUUGGAUGAGGUCAUAUAUUUUUGCAAUUGGAGCUGCUUUGCACAAGUAUCUAGAAACAUAUCUUCCACAAAGUUUGACGUGUUCACAGAUUUCUGUGGUUCACCUAUUCUUGCAUGGGCGUAAAUAUGCCACAAUAUUACUUCUGAAGUCUCACACCUGUAUAAAGAAGUGUGUUCCUGCUGCCACAUUAACAAACUUUGAAUUAUUAUUAUUUCACUGAAAUUCUUUCAAGUAUAGCCUGAACCAUUCUCUAUCAGUGUUACAUUUUGACAGCUAUCUGGUGACUGAUGGAUGUUAAGCUCCAAGAAGAAAUACUAAAGCCUGUGUAUAUCAGAAUUUUCCAUCUGUGGGUUUUUGACACAGGAGAAAUUACACAAAGUCUAAAACAAUGUGUUUGAAUGUGCAAUGGUUGAUAAUAUUGCAUUGCAAACAAAGAACCGGUCACUAAUGAAGCAAUGUAGUUGAUCUUGUGGAGGAAAAAAUUAUAUACGUAUAUAUAUAUUCUUGUAUUAUUUUUGGUCAGUAUUUGGGAUCUCAUUAAUUUUUCCUGUUGUACCAUUAUUUAUGCUCUUUACUCGUUACCAUUUAUAAUAUCCAUGUGAGAUAACAAUAAUUAGACAAGUUUGAAUCCAAGAACUUCACCAUAAUUGGCUGUGCAUUGCACUGUUUUAAUGGUAAAGCAUGUUGUUCGGCCAACUGAGCACUCUUAUCUUCCAGUACUAAGAGUAUCAAGACUCUAUAUCUGGCCACCGAUUCCAGAUAACUAGGGAAUUUAAAGUUUUCUGUUCUCAGAUGAUAAAGUUUGAAUGUAUAAGGAAGGAGAUCUCUGAGUGUCAUUAUAUAAUUGUGUAUCUCAUUUGUAUAGAUCAAAAGUUUGCAGAAUACUAGGAGUAAGUGAAAGGGGACCAUAAACUAUUUCACAUUUAACUGCUGGCAACUUUCCUAGGCAGUAUGCUUUAAAGAACAUUUAUAUUUUUAAGAAAAGUGACACUGAAAAUAGUUCAGUGUUCUGUUCUGUCAGUUCAGAUCCUAUGGUUAAACAAUGAUAUUAAUUAUAGAAUUAAAAAACAGUAAUCUGCUGCUUUUUUUCACUAAAGUAGUAUCUUGUUAAGCAGCCAAAAAUGAAGUAAAUACCUGUCAUUAUUAAUUCUUAUAUGUUAUGAAUUGUUGAACACUGGUACUGAUUUUUAUGUUUACAACUCAGAAUUUGUGAAACACUUUCUCUUGUGGACUAUAGCAGUAUAUUUUGGUAUAUGGUAUAGGAGAGAGAACAUAUUCUUAGGAAUGUGGAUUUGUCAGCUUUCAUUGUGUGUUAGGUGAGGAGACAACAGCUGAUACUUUGUUAGUUGCACUGCUUAGGUUCUCAUAUAACUGCCUUAACUUUGAUACAGAGUCUUAAAUAUUCAGCACUGUUUGACAUACAAGGAAUUGGAGUCCUUGAAAAUGGCAUGUUAUGUAAAUUUACGUUAGACAGACUUAAUGCCAUGUGUGUUAAAUGGAAUAUGUAAACACUGUCUCAUAAAGCCCCCUGUAGGAUGUCUAUGUUCACUGAGAUAACCACUUGAAGCUAUAACAACAAAUGUUUGUUGUGUUCAGAACGCGUAUUACAAACGAGCGUAUACCGGCAGAGACUUCUCUCAUGGUGGCUAGUCCAGUCCGGUGAUUACAAUGUCAAGUGCAGGCCCUGAAAAGAGCCAUUUUGUCUAGCAGUGUCUCCUUUUAGCAGCCCUACCUAUGCUGUUUUGGGGUAUGCGGUAGCAUAGUUGGUUGAUACGUUAUGCUACAAGCUGAAAGGUUGUGGGUUCAAGUCCCGAUGAG
Molecule: RNA transcript, 13493 nt
Organism: Cryptotermes secundus
Lineage: Eukaryota; Metazoa; Arthropoda; Insecta; Blattodea; Kalotermitidae
Gene: Cngl
Exons: 18
Source: RefSeq, a predicted model, not a curated record